CCCAAAUUUUUUCUUAGAAGCUAUAAUGUACUAAAUUUACUCACCUGUUCCUUGAAUCUUUGCUUCUUAUUCAAAUCUAAGAUCAAAUACCAUGAUUAUUGCUAAACACCUAACUGUUUCCAUUUGCUGUUGAUAUAAUUGUUUUCCUAGGUUUCAGAUAUCUACUUUGGCAACAAAGCUUGGCGUUAGAAACAUUGCAUUCCUUGGUUCUGGGCUUUUGUUGUUAAAUUAUAUUGUUGCUAUAUUGGCUGCAGUUUUCAUGCCCCAGGUACUUGCAACUCGAGCUGCAAAAAAUGGCAAAAACCCCGGCAGCUGCCAAAAGCAGGGCAGGACUUGCUAGGCAGAACAGAUUGAGAGGUACAUUUGUUGUUUCAUAAAUAGA
Molecule: non-coding RNA, 382 nt
Organism: Camellia sinensis
Lineage: Eukaryota; Viridiplantae; Streptophyta; Magnoliopsida; Ericales; Theaceae
Source: RefSeq, a predicted model, not a curated record